Plutella xylostella (diamondback moth) is the source of this 1074-nucleotide long non-coding RNA. RefSeq lists it as uncharacterized. The record is from RefSeq and is a predicted model, not a curated record. Lineage: Eukaryota; Metazoa; Arthropoda; Insecta; Lepidoptera; Plutellidae.
UUUAUUACGUCCCUUACUAUCCCAGGAUCACACAAAUAGUGCUAUCCUUGUUUAUGUGACCGCCGCCGCGCGCCGCCGCCGGUGAAGUUGGGAUUAGUUUUUUGCAUGUUUUGUUUGUUCAUUUGUUUACAGUUUAGUGCAAACCAUGGCCACGAUCGGUGUUAUUGUUGUUUGUUAAAAUAUUGUGAGUGCUCUAAAAGCAAAUGAAUAUUCAAGAUCUUAUAUUCUAAAAGAUAUUAGUGGAUGCAGAUAAGAGUGUUUAGUGAGUGCUAUGUUUGAAUAUUGCAAGUGAAAACACAGCCCAUCAAUGUAAUGCGCUAAAAAACUGCAAUGGCUCCGAACACAUGAUUACCAGAUAACAAAUCCUGGCGCAGCUUACGUGUGUGCUUCUAUAACGUCGCAAGCUACAGUGGCUGUUCAUAAUUUCUGCAAGCUCUACACCUACAGGAUUCAGUUAUCUGGGCAUUAUAGAUACCCUAUACCUAAGAAGUUAUUUAGGUAUAUUUAUUAAAACCAUUAAAUAGAGGUGAGUGAUUGAGUUAAUUAGUAUAUAUAUGUUUUAUGAUUUUUACAUCUUAUUUAAAAAUAGAAAAGUGUAUCUGCCAUUCUUGGAAAAGUUAAAAUAAAUAACAUAUAAUUUAGGUAAUAGGUAUAGAAUAGGUUAUUUUUGAUUAUUUUUUUUCUAUCAAAUAAAGAUGUUUAAUUAUACCUAAGUAUCUUUAUGAACAAAAAAUAUUACUUUGGGAAACGUGAGUUUCAACUAUGAUGUUUAAACUAUUGCUGCUGUAUCUGAUCUCGUUAAUUUUAUUCUUAAAUUGUAAUUAUUUGUCUCACAAUAUGAAACGGGGACCAAAAGCAAAAGUAUCAUUAGAAGCCCAAAAGGAUGUGUUUGUGAAGUUUAGAGACACUUUUCGAGAAGGUUUACCUCAUUUCCGCCAUGAAGUGUAAAGUCAAAUACAAUCUGAGUUUAAUUAUGUAAUGUCAAUCAGAGCUAUACAACUCAGCUUAAAAAAGAAUUAUACGUUCUUUUUCGGGCAUGAUGUGAACUUUUUCAAUAGCCUUCCAGCAUUCGAA